UGCGAUCGGCCGCGGCUCGGCGGGGGAGGCCGCGCUGCUGAGCCGGAGGAGGCGGCGGGCGCUGCUCUAAACUUGGACCAAGUUGGGGAACGGGCGGCCCCGCGCUCCCCCGAGGGGGGAGUCGCCUGGUUUGGUUUGUUUUUUUGGUGUUUUUUGGUUUUUUUUUUUCCGGGAUUUGGGUAUUUUUUGGGUUUUUUUGUUUUUUUUUUUUUUAAAGGAAGGACAAGGAGGGGGCAAGUCCCCGAGAGCCGCGGCGCUGCGAGCCCGUCACCAUGUGUCUGUAAAAACAAUAGGGCAAAAGUUGUCGGACCUUUUUUUUUUUCCUUAUUUUUAUUUUUUUCAUUGGUUUUUAAUUUUUUAAAAAUUUUUUAAAAAUCUAAUUUAUAUUUUUUUGUGGUCGGUGGCCGGGCCCCCCAAAUCCCAACAAAGCCAGGUGUAGUGUGCCUGUAAAGCUGUGGAAUAACCCGGAGCAGGACUGACACUUUCCAUACUUUUUGGUGGUUUUGGAGGGUCACACACGUGUGAGACAAUAAAGCACUUUGGCAGAAGAUUCCUCUCUUUUUAUUUUGAUUAUUUUUAUUACUUUUUUUUUUUUCUUUCUUUCUUUUUUUUCCCCCUUGGAAUAUUGUGAACAUAUUUGUGGCCAUUUAAGGUUUGUGUGAUUUUGCUAAAAUGCAUCACCAACAGCGAAUGGCUGCCUUAGGGACGGACAAAGAACUGAGUGAUUUACUGGAUUUCAGUGCGAUGUUUUCACCUCCUGUGAGCAGCGGGAAAAAUGGACCAACUUCCUUGGCAAGUGGACAUUUUACUGGCUCAA
This is a long non-coding RNA of Hirundo rustica (Barn swallow), 817 nucleotides long. RefSeq lists it as uncharacterized. The transcript has 3 exons. The record is from RefSeq and is a predicted model, not a curated record. NCBI's taxonomy places the organism in Eukaryota, Metazoa, Chordata, Aves, Passeriformes, Hirundinidae.